Molecule: ribosomal RNA, 468 nt
Filed under: uncultured bacterium
Lineage: Bacteria
Description: partial 16S ribosomal RNA
Rfam family: Bacterial small subunit ribosomal RNA
Source: RNAcentral
GACGAACGCUGGCGGUGUGCUUAACACAUGCAAGUCGAACGGAAAGGCCCUGCUUUUGUGGGGUGCUCGAGUGGCGAACGGGUGAGUAACACGUGAGUAACCUGCCCUUGACUUUGGGAUAACUUCAGGAAACUGGGGCUAAUACCGGAUAGGAGCUCCUGCUGCAUGGUGGGGGUUGGAAAGUUUCGGCGGUUGGGGAUGGACUCGCGGCUUAUCAGCUUGAUGGUGGGGUAGUGGCUUACCAAGGCUUUGACGGGUAGCCGGCCUGAGAGGGUGACCGGCGACAUGGGGACUGAGAGACGGACCAGACGCCUACGGGAGGCAGCAGGGGGGAAUAUUGCACAAUGGGCGGAAGCCUGAUGCAGCAACGCCGCGUGCGGGAUGACGGCCUUCGGGUUGUAAACCGCUUUCGCCUGUGACGAAGCGUGAGUGACGGUAAUGGGUAAAGAAGCACCGGCUAACUACGUG